CAGUAGCCGCGGGAAAACGGAGGGGGCUAGCGUUGUUCGGAAUUACUGGGCGUAAAGCGCACGUAGGCGGCUUGGUAAGUUAGAGGUGAAAGCCUGGAGCUCAACUCCAGAAUUGCCUUUAAGACUGCCGAGCUAGCAGGUGAGAGAGGUAAGUGGAAUUCCGAGUGUAGAGGUGAAAUUCGUAGAUAUUCGGAAGAACACCAGUGGCGAAGGCGGCUUACUGGCUCAUACUGGACGCUGAGGUGCGAAAGCGUGGGGAGCAAACAGGAUUAGAUACCCCGGUAGUCCCUGUCUCUUAUAC
RNAcentral lists this ribosomal RNA (301 nucleotides) under uncultured bacterium. RNAcentral's name for it is "partial 16S ribosomal RNA". It matches the Rfam family "Bacterial small subunit ribosomal RNA", at positions 509 to 807 of the family's 1533-position model. The record is from RNAcentral.